UCAGCUACUUUUUUUUAUUUAUUUUUUGGGUUUACAAAGGAAGAGGCGGGUGAACUUGAACUUGAGACCGUGCCCAAGUCAAGAGUUGCACCUACCACCACGCUAUGACACUAAGCCUGCAUAGAACACAUGCAUGAGUGAGUCUAUUUGAUCACUAUCAAGAAGUCUUAUUUUACCUUUGAUUUCAAUUCAAAAUCUAGCGAGAUGCUUUAUAGGCUUUUAUCCACAAGAAAAUAAUAGGAAAGAAAACAAAGUUCUUUUGGGGAAGGGGGGAGGAGAAGGAGAUGGGACCAAUUCCUAUGAAUAAUUGUCUAUCUUUUAAUGAACAGUUUACACAAUUUCACAGAAUAGGUAACUUGGUGAGCCGGAAGAAAUGCAGAAAAGCAAUUUUAGUGACAUGAAACAUUGCAAAGGCACUAAUGGGAAGCAGGUUUAGAAAAUAGAAUAGAAUAGAGAACUAUACAUAGAACACGUACCUCUAAGGAAUCCUAGAGCAAGGA
This 500-nucleotide unclassified non-coding RNA is filed under the name Hevea brasiliensis (rubber tree). The record is from RNAcentral. Lineage: Eukaryota; Viridiplantae; Streptophyta; Magnoliopsida; Malpighiales; Euphorbiaceae.